Marmota monax (woodchuck) is the source of this 1795-nucleotide long non-coding RNA. RefSeq lists it as uncharacterized. Lineage: Eukaryota; Metazoa; Chordata; Mammalia; Rodentia; Sciuridae. The transcript has 3 exons. The record is from RefSeq and is a predicted model, not a curated record.
UCUUAUGUAGCCUUCAAUGUCCUGAGCCCUGAGAUGUCUCAGCUUCAGUGAUAUCCAUGGCUACCUCCCACCUCUCAACAGGCACCAGGCAACAAAUGUUUCCAUGAGCUAAGAAGCAGCACCUGUGCCCUGCAGCACAACCUAGAGGAGUCAGCCUCCCUCCUGACCAUGUUCUGGAGAGCAGCUUUACCAAGCUUCCACGGCCCUGGGCUGCCUGGCAAAGUGGAUGAAUCAAUGAAAAGGGAGCUCCUGGAUCUUCGAGCCCAAGUAUCCAAACAGGAGAAGCUCCUUGAGAGCGCAGCUGAGCGUCUGAAGUCUGUUAACCAGCAGAAGGAGAACAUGGAGCAGUUCAUUGUCAGCCAGCCUAGGUGCCUCUGAGCUGUGGAGCAGCAGAGGAAAGGGGUGGUCUUGCAGAUUCCCCACUUAUGCUGCAGAAGAACAGUGACCACAGAGGCACUGGAAUGUUGGGAAGGGAGAGUCUGGCACUGGGCCCAACCCUCCUGUGCCAUGAGGAAUUGUGGAUGCAGAGGGAGGAGAGUAAGGGGUCAGCAAUAGGCCAUGAUUGAGGGGUGAGAAGAAAGUGGUCUAGAAAUGCAUGCCCAGCAAGUAGGGCCCAGUUAGAAAUUCCUUCUUUGUGGGGCUCUUUUCUUUUUUCAGUGACCAGGACACAUGAUGUUUUGAAGAAGGCAAAGACUAACUUGGAGCUAAGGAACCGGUUGCACCUUACACAGUCACAGAGCCAAUUCAAAUACGUCACUGUCUGUCAUCAGAUCUGUGACAUCCGUAAGGGCCCUGCUGUGUGCUCCAGCAUUGACACCCUUGCCUUCCAGGAGCCACACAAGAAGCAAAGCAACCACCGGUCCCUAAUGCAUGAGGAAGCCUAGGCCUACCCCCCUCCCCACAUCUGAACAACUGCCUAUCUGCUAAGGAGCAUCUGAGUCCUAUUCCUUCAAAGCUGGUGCAGGUCUGAAGAGGUGAUCAGAGAUGUCUCCUACUAGGGUAGGAAGAAAGGCAGAAUGACUUCCUGGCAGUGAUGGAAUACCAGUAGUCAAAUACCACCAGACCCCCACUAGGCAGAGUUCACCUAAGAUUGCAUGGUAAACCUGUGACACUGCUUCUGAACAGCCUCAGUGACACAGCACCUGCUCAGCACUGUUCUCACCUUAGCAGCUCUCCUUUGAUGAUCAACUCUGGGGAAAUGAUUGCCUUCUACACAUGGGUCAUGUGGUUCCAAUGUGGAGCUUGUUGACAGUUCUAGAAGCACUCUAGUGAGAAGCAGGCACUGCUGGACAGUGUCAGUGAAACUCAGCUAGCACCUUUCACAGAUCCACACCUGACCAGGUAGCUCCUCUGGGAUAAGCCAGGCUGGACUUUGCACGGCACCAUGAGGUCUGACCUCUUUGAGUCCAUGUGAGGAAGGAAAUUGGUGACCUCUCAUUCAUAGCCUAGCACAAUCUGCUUCCUUUAUUAACAUGUUCUCCAAAUUUUACUGCCCCCUCCUCCCCAUUAAGUAUGCUGUGCCAUUUUGCUAACUUAACAUCCUUCGGGGGAAUAUGAGACUGAUGUCCACACCAAGCCUAUGCAAAGUCUUGCAUAUGGCAGCCUCUACUUGUUUCUUAGUGGUGUGGGCCAGGCCCCAAUUGUACUGAAGCCUCCUAUGUGUCUUUAGAGUGCUCCUAGGAUGUGAGUAGGUGGGUAUAAAUGUAAGAUAGAGGUUCAUUUAUAUUGCUGUAGCCAUACGUUGAAGGCCAACAUCACUCAUUGCAGGCAGGGUAAAAUAGUAAUGUCUUUCUGG